GAUGAAGAACGUAGCGAAAUGCGAUACGUAAUGUGAAUUGCAAAUUCAGUGAAUCAUCGAGUCUUUGAACGCACAUUGCGCCCCCUGGUAUUCCGGGGGGCAUGCCUGUCCGAGCGUCAUUGCUGCCCUCAAGCACAGCUUGUGUGUUGGGCCCCGUCCUCCGAUCCCGGGGGACGGGCCCGAAAGGCAGCGGCGGCACCGCGUCCGGUCCUCGAGCGUAUGGGGCUUUGUCACCCGCUCUGUAGGCCCGGCCGGCGCUUGCCGAUCAACCCAAAUUUUUAUCCAGGUUGACCUCGGAUCAGGUAGGGAUACCCGCUGAACUUAAGCAUAUCAAUAAGCGGAGGA
This 345-nucleotide unclassified non-coding RNA is filed under the name soil metagenome. RNAcentral describes it as "partial contains 5.8S ribosomal RNA, internal transcribed spacer 2, and large subunit ribosomal RNA". The stretch from base 1 to 119 matches the Rfam family "5.8S ribosomal RNA", at positions 35 to 154 of the family's 154-position model. The record is from RNAcentral.